GCACUUUCAGUAGGGAGGAAGGUAGUGUAGUUAACACCUGCAUUAUUUGACGUUACCUACAGAAGAAGCACCGGCUAACUCCGUGCCAGCAGCCGCGGUAAUACGGAGGGUGCGAGCGUUAAUCGGAAUUACUGGGCGUAAAGCGCAUGCAGGCGGCCUGUUAAGUCAGAUGUGAAAGCCCCGGGGCUUAACCUCGGAAUUGCAUUUGAAACUGGCAGGCUAGAGUCUUGUAGAGGGGGUAGAAUUUCAGGUGUAGCGGUGAAAUGCGUAGAGAUCUGAAGGAAUACCAGUGGCGAAGGCGGCCCCCUGGACAAAGACUGACGCUCAGAUGCGAAAGCGUGGGAGCAAACAGGAUUAGAUACCUGGUAG
Molecule: ribosomal RNA, 369 nt
Filed under: uncultured bacterium
Lineage: Bacteria
Description: bacterial SSU rRNA
Rfam family: Bacterial small subunit ribosomal RNA
Source: RNAcentral